RNAcentral lists this ribosomal RNA (253 nucleotides) under uncultured bacterium. RNAcentral describes it as "partial 16S ribosomal RNA". It matches the Rfam family "Bacterial small subunit ribosomal RNA", at positions 524 to 776 of the family's 1533-position model. The record is from RNAcentral.
UACGGAGGGUGCAAGCGUUAUCCGGAUUUACUGGGCUUAAAGGGUGUGUAGGCGGGCCUUUAAGUCUGGGGUGAAAUCUCCGAGCUCAACUCGGAAACUGCCCUGGAUACUAUCGGCCUUGAAUUAUGUUGAGGUUGGCGGAAUAUAACAUGUAGCGGUGAAAUGCAUAGAUAUGUUAUAGAACACCGAUUGCGAAGGCAGCUGACUAAGCAUAUAUUGACGCUGAGGCACGAAAGCGUGGGGAUCAAACAGG